UACGGAGGAUGCGAGCGUUAUCCGGAAUCAUUGGGUUUAAAGGGUGCGUAGGCUGGUAUUUAAGUCAGUGGUGAAUUUCGUGCUUAACAUGAGAGCUGCCAUUGAUACUGGAUACCUUGAGUGUAUUGGAUGUGGGCGGAAUGUGUUGUGUAGCGGUGAAAUGCAUAGAUAUGACACAGAACACCGAUAGCGAAGGCAGCUCACAAAGU
This 209-nucleotide ribosomal RNA is filed under the name uncultured bacterium. RNAcentral describes it as "partial 16S ribosomal RNA". It matches the Rfam family "Bacterial small subunit ribosomal RNA", at positions 524 to 734 of the family's 1533-position model. The record is from RNAcentral.